AGGAUGUGAGGAUAAUCCAUGUGUUUAUGGCUCAUGUUACAGUCCAAUUAAUUCAGCCAGCUAUAUAUGUACAUGCAACCAGGGAUUUUCUGGAACCAACUGCAAUGAACCCACAGUGUAUUCAAUAUUCGAGUGUACUGCAGAGAUUGAUCAAAGGUGCAUGUUUGUUCAAUCCACUAAUGAUACCUUUAAUUGGGGGAAAAGAUCAGGUCCAGCUAAAUAUUAUACAUAUAGUGGAAUAACGGGUGUGACUGGUCCUGGUGGUGCAAAAGAAGGAUUUGUAUAUUUAUAUACAAGGACUUAUCCAGAUCGGAGACCGGGCGACGUUGCAGUUAUGUCUACUGAUAUAAAUU
Mytilus californianus (California mussel) is the source of this 353-nucleotide long non-coding RNA. RefSeq lists it as uncharacterized. The transcript is spliced from 3 exons. The record is from RefSeq and is a predicted model, not a curated record. NCBI's taxonomy places the organism in Eukaryota, Metazoa, Mollusca, Bivalvia, Mytilida, Mytilidae.